UCAAGCUGUAAAGGGCGCAAGGGGAAUGCCUUGGCACUGAGAGCCGAUGAAGGACGCGACAAGCUGCGAUAAGCUUCGGGGAGCCGCAAAUGGGCUUUGAUCCGAAGAUUUCCGAAUGGGGAAACCCGGCAGAGCAAUACUCUGUCAACGUUAACUGAAUUCAUAGGUUAACGUAGGGAACCGCCUGAACUGAAACAUCUAAGUAGGGCGAGGAAAAGAAAUCAACCGAGAUUCCGCUAGUAGUGGCGAGCGAACGCGGAAGAGGCCAAACCGGAGAGAGUAAUCUUUCCGGGGUUUGGACAGCAAUGUGUAGUCAUGGAAUUAGCCGAAUGCGUUGGGAAGCGCAGCAACAUAGGGUGAUAGCCCCGUAGGUGAAAAGGAAGUGACGCUAGCUGGAUCCAGAGUACCACAGGACACGUGAAACCCUGUGGGAAUAUGGGGGGACCAUCCUCCAAGCCUAAAUACUACUCAGUGACCGAUAGAGAAGCAGUACCGUGAGGGAAAGGUGAAAAGGACCCCGGGAGGGGAGUGAAAAAGAACCUGAAACCUUGUGCCUACAAGCACCGAGAGCUCGUUAAUGAGUGAUCGGGUACUUUUUGUAGAACGGUCCGGCGAGUUAAUGUAAGUAGCAAGCUUAAGGUACUGGAGUACUGGAGGCGCAGCGAGAGCGAGUCUGAAUAGGGCGACUAAGUUACUUGCAUUAGACCCGAAACCGGGUGACCUAUCCAUGAGCAGGCUGAAGCGGUGGUAAGACACCGUGGAGGGCCGCACCCACGUCCGUUGAAAAGGCCGGGGAUGACUUGUGGAUAGCGGAGAAAUUCCAAUCGAACUCGGAUAUAGCUGGUUCUCCCCGAAAUAGCUUUAGGGCUAGCGUUAUGAUAGAUUACCGGAGGUAAAGCACUGAAUGGGCUAGGGGCCGCGAGGUUACUGAACCCUAUCAAACUAAGAAUGCCGGAUAAUUGUUUCAUAGCAGUCAGACUACGUGAGAUAAGUCUCGUGGUCAAAAGGGAAACAGCCCAGAUCCGCAGCUAAGGUCCCAAAUAGAUGCUAAGUGGAAAAUGAUGUGAAACUGCGAAAACAACCAGGAUGUUGGCUUAGAAGCAGCCACUCAUUCAAAGAGUGCGUAAUAGCUCACUGGUCGAGUGGUUUUGCGCAGAAAAUGUAACGGGGCUAAGCAUCUAACCGAAGCUCGGGCAGUAUUAAAUACUGGGUAGGGGAGCGUUGUGUACGGAACGAAGUCAGAGCGAAAGCACUGGUGGACUGUACACAAGUGAGAAUGCCGGAAUAAGUAGCGAGAAUUAUGUGAGAAUCAUAAUGGCCGAAAAUCUAAGGUUUCUUGGGGAAGGUUCGUCCGCCCAAGGUUAGUCGGGAGCUAAGGCGAGGCCUAACGGCGUAGUCGAUGCACAUACGGUAGAAAUUCCGUAACCACCGAACUUUAAGCAUAAGGGACGCUUUCAUUAAGGUUAUCCCGGGCGAUGGUUGCCCCGGGCGUAAGGGACCGAAAUAUAGUAGGGAAGUAACUGGCGUGAGAGACGAGAAAAGCUUAUGUGUAUACUAAGGUGCCCGUACCGCAAACCGACACAGGUAGAUGGGAUGAGUAUUCUAAGGCCAACGGGAGAAGGGUUGUUAAGGAACUCGGCAAAUUGGCCCCGUAACUUCGGGAUAAGGGGCGCUGCGAGCAAUGCAGCCGCAGUGAAAAGGCCCAAGCGACUGUUUAGCAAAAACACAGCUCUCUGCUAAAUCGAAAGAUGAUGUAUAGGGGGUGACGCCUGCCCGGUGCUGGAAGGUUAAGGGGAGUGCUUAGCGCAAGCGAAGGUGCGAACUUAAGCCCCAGUAAACGGCGGCCGUAACUAUAACGGUCCUAAGGUAGCGAAAUUCCUUGUCAGGUAAGUUCUGACCCGCACGAAUGGCGUAACGAUUUGGGCACUGUCUCAACAGCCCGCCCGGCGAAAUUGUAGUACCGGUGAAGAUGCCGGUUACCCGCAACUAGACGGAAAGACCCCAUGGAGCUUCACUGUAGCUUGAUAUUGGAUUUCGGUAUUCCAUGUACAGGAUAGGUGGGAGACUUGGAAGCGCGGGCGCCAGCUUGCGUGGAGUCAACCUUGGGAUACCACUCUUGGGAUACUGGAAUUCUAACCUGCGGCCCUGAAUCGGGUCGGGGGACACUGUCAGGUGGGCAGUUUGACUGGGGCGGUCGCCUCCUAAA
RNAcentral lists this ribosomal RNA (2206 nucleotides) under human gut metagenome. RNAcentral's name for it is "bacterial LSU rRNA". It matches the Rfam family "Bacterial large subunit ribosomal RNA", at positions 3 to 2294 of the family's 2925-position model. The record is from RNAcentral.